This 429-nucleotide ribosomal RNA is filed under the name Chloroflexota bacterium. RNAcentral's name for it is "Chloroflexi bacterium partial 16S ribosomal RNA". It matches the Rfam family "Bacterial small subunit ribosomal RNA", at positions 355 to 776 of the family's 1533-position model. Lineage: Bacteria; Bacillati; Chloroflexota. The record is from RNAcentral.
UGGGGAAUAUUGCACAAUGGGCGCAAGCCUGAUGCAGCCAUGCCGCGUGUAUGAAGAAGGCCUUCGGGUUGUAAAGUACUUUCAGUUGGGAGGAAGGUGGUAAGGUUAAUAACCUUAUCAAUUGACGUUACCGACAGAAGAAGCACCGGCUAACUCCGUGCCAGCAGCCGCGGUAAUACGGAGGGUGCAAGCGUUAAUCGGAAUUACUGGGCGUAAAGCGCACGCAGGCGGUUGAUUGAGUCAGAUGUGAAAUCCCCGGGGUUAACCCGGGAAUUGCAUCUGAUACUGGUCAGCUAGAGUCUUGUAGAGGGGGGUAGAAUUCCAUGUGUAGCGGUGAAAUGCGUAGAGAUGUGGAGGAGUACCGGUGGCGAAGGCGGCCACCUGGACAAAGACUGACGCUAAGGUGCGAAAGCGUGGGGAGCAAACAGG